Molecule: long non-coding RNA, 580 nt
Organism: Antechinus flavipes (yellow-footed antechinus)
Lineage: Eukaryota; Metazoa; Chordata; Mammalia; Dasyuromorphia; Dasyuridae
Exons: 2
Source: RefSeq, a predicted model, not a curated record
CUCUGUUUGCUCAUCUGUGAAAUGAGGGAAUUAGGGGCCAGCCAACUUUUAGUUCCUAAAAUGGGGAUUUGGGGGUUAGUGACCUGGGUCCGGGCCUCCGUGGAGAGGACCACAGGGCUUGGAACUGCAGCGCUGCUUCUGUCUGGGCUCGGGGCUGGCCUGACCUCUGAUGUGGCAGGUUAUUCCUGAUUGCAGUUAAGAAAAUUUGUGUCAAUCUGGAAACUGGAGGCCUGGGUUCCAUCCUACCCAUGUGUAAUGUUCGAGACAGCUUUCUGGAGGACCUCGGGGUCAGCCCUAGUCCUUGGUCUUAAAGGAGAAAUGAUGAAGGCUGGUCAGAGAUGGAAUGACUCAUUUCUAGUCCUUCCCAGCUCUUAUAUACCUUAGUACAAUUACAUCAUUACUGCAUUCUGAAUAUGUGUGAACUAGAGAACCAUUACAUCACCAUACUAAGUACUAAGUAUAUAUGUAAACUAGAGAACCAUCAUCUCAUCAAUUCCACUGAGUUAACACCUCAGUUCAAGUAUAUUUCUCCAGAGUUCAGGCCCUCUACACCUAUAAUAAAUUGUGUAUUAGGAAAGUC